GUAGGUGAACCUGCGGAAGGGUCAUUAUCGAGGGGCUCACGCCCCGUCGAGAUAGGACCCUUGCCUUUUUUGAGCACCCGUUUCGUUUCCUCGGUGGGCUAGCCCGCCAAUGGGGACCCCUUAAAAACCUUUGAAUGUAACCUGAAAAUCGUCUGAACAAAUUUAAAACAAUCAAAACUUUCAACAACGGAUCUCUUGGUUCUGGCAUCGAUGAAGAACGCAGCAUCUGACUGACUCAGGUCUGUAUUAU
RNAcentral lists this unclassified non-coding RNA (250 nucleotides) under plant metagenome. RNAcentral's name for it is "partial contains small subunit ribosomal RNA, internal transcribed spacer 1, and 5.8S ribosomal RNA". The record is from RNAcentral.